Long non-coding RNA from Talpa occidentalis (Iberian mole), 561 nucleotides. RefSeq lists it as uncharacterized. The transcript has 3 exons. The record is from RefSeq and is a predicted model, not a curated record. Lineage: Eukaryota; Metazoa; Chordata; Mammalia; Eulipotyphla; Talpidae.
GUGUUAUUUAUGGGUCUACGAGAUGCACAGAGAAUGACUUCCAGACAGAGUUCUCACUCACUGCCCCUUCAAGAGCAGAGAUGUGGCAACUACAACCUUUUAGAGGGCUUCAGAAGAAGAGCUGAGAGUACCUGCCCACCUCCUGGGAGAAUGAGGGCCAGGAAAGCAGUGCUCACAGAGUGUAUCCAGUGAAUGUUUAUGGACCAAGAGUGCAUCGUGACCACAGGCUGAGAACUGUAUUCAUUCAGGAUUCUGAUGUGACAUACUAGGGUUGAUCUUGCUUAUUCUCCGUGGAUAUUUCCUGUAAUGACACUCAUGCUCCUGCCUUGGUUUCUGGAUAUCAGGACAUGAAGUGGCAGUGACUUGAAGUCAUUAUGAAGGCCUCAGUAGUGCCUGGAUCAAGCAAAAUGAACUAACUACUCCAGAGUAAGAAGGUGCUGAAGAGUCUGUCUGAGCUGGGGAGUCUAGUGGGAGAGGACUCAGAACCCAGAGAACAGCCCCGACUGCCUGCAAGGCUCUUCAUGCUCCACCAUGCACAGGCGGAUGGUAGCUAGGCCUCAG